AUACGUAGGGGGCAAGCGUUAUCCGGAUUUACUAGGUGUAAAGGGAGCGUAGACGGUGUGACAAGUCUGAUGUGAAAACCCGGGGCUCAACUCCGGGAUUGCAUUGGAAACGGCCAUACUAGAGUGCAGGAGAGGAAAGCGGAAUUCCUAGUGUAGCGGUGAAAUGCGUAGAUAUUAGGAGGAACACCGGCGGCGAAGGCGGCUUACUGGACUGUAACUGACGUUGAGGCUCGAAAGCGUGGGGAGCAAACAGGAUUAGAUACCCUGGUAGUCCACGCGGUAAACGAUGAAUACUAGGUGUUGGGGGUCUAUAGACCCUCGGUGCCGCAGCAAACGCAAUAAGUAUUCCACCUGGGGAGUACGUUCGCAAGAAUGAAACUCAAAUGAAUUGGCGGGG
Molecule: ribosomal RNA, 397 nt
Filed under: uncultured bacterium
Lineage: Bacteria
Description: partial 16S ribosomal RNA
Rfam family: Bacterial small subunit ribosomal RNA
Source: RNAcentral